Molecule: transfer RNA, 66 nt
Filed under: Globospongicola spinulatus
Lineage: Eukaryota; Metazoa; Arthropoda; Malacostraca; Decapoda; Spongicolidae
Description: tRNA-Ser
Source: RNAcentral
AGUCGUUUGGCCGAAAAUAAGCAAAUGUUUUGAAAACAUUUUAUAGGGUUUAAACCCUAAUGACUU